UACAGAGACUGCAAGCGUUAUUCGGAUUCACUGGGCGUAAAGGGCGCGUAGGCGGCCUGAUAAGUAGGGGGUGAAAUCCUGUGGCUCAACUGCAGGGCUGCCUCCUAGACUGUCGGGCUUGAGCACGGUAGAGGCAGAUGGAAUUCCCGGUGUAGCGGUGGAAUGCGUAGAGAUCGGGAAGAACAUCGGUGGCGAAGGCGGUCUGCUGGGCCGUUGCUGACGCUGAGGCGCGACAGCGUGGGGGAGCAAACAGG
This 254-nucleotide ribosomal RNA is filed under the name uncultured bacterium. Its description in RNAcentral is "partial 16S ribosomal RNA". It matches the Rfam family "Bacterial small subunit ribosomal RNA", at positions 524 to 776 of the family's 1533-position model. The record is from RNAcentral.